CAUUAAUACCAGGGGGAGCCCUUGUUGUCUUGACCCCCCAUCUAUACCGAGUCCACGACCAGAUCGAGCUAAUUCGGGCACAAACCCGUCGAGGAGAGAGAGAGUGAGUGAGUGAGUCAUGCGUCGCCGGGAGUGCCCUAGACCGUGUAUUGGUUGUUCAAGCGGGGGAGCCGCACAGGAACUCCCACGUCGCAUUGGACAAGCUAUUCGUGGCAUCAUCAGUCGAGGGACGGUGAUCGAGCGGUGGGAUUUCUCGCCGGGCAGUGGUGGUUGGCGCGGGGUUCCCCUCAUUGGAGGCAGUAGAGUCUACGCAUCCGAUCUAGGUGAGGACUCCUCCCUCUAAUUCGUUACGGCCUCCUCCAUGAAUAGUGCGCAUCUAGCGAAUGUUAGGAAGCGAGGAUGAUCACUGGGGCAUCGCUAGUAAUGUCGCAGUUGUGGGUGAAAGGGCCGGCACUGCUUGGCCUACCGCGUAGGAAGAAGAUGAAAUCGUGGCCGUCGAUUUCCUCGCAGACGUGCCUGAUCAGGGCUCGAAUUAGAGAUGGCCAAACGGGCCGCCCGGCCCGGCCCGGCCCGGGCCCGGUGAAGCCCGGCCAAAAACCGGGCCGGGCCUGCUGUGCCAUCGUGCUCAAGUUUCUGUCCAAGCCGGCCCGCAGCGGGCCUAAACGGGCCGGGCCGGCCCGUUUAGCACGAAAAAAACGGGCCGAAAACGUGCUAAACGGGCCGGUAAGCACGUUUUAGUGUAAAAAAACCGGGCUUAACGGGCUUAGAGGUAAACGGGUCGUGCCGGGCUAGCCUGCCGUGCCUAGUUUCCUGUCCAAGCCCGCCCGCUUAUUCUACCGUGCCGGGUUCGGACCGGGCCCAAAAACCGGGCUUCGUGCCGGGCUCACGGGCCUCGUGCUUUUUGGCCAUCUAUAGCUCGAAUACCCUUCGAGUAAAUAGAUCUGGGCCUCGUGUCUGAAAUUGUGUGGGCUAAAUUAGAUCCUGGUCUUUUAAAUCUGGAGCGUAGACGAUUGGUCCAACUGUCCUUGAUGCUAGAUACCCCUUCGCAUGGCAUAUUUAGUAAAGAGCCCCUCAGCUUUUCCGAAACUAACCCACCAUCCCUAACAGUUGUAAAACCAUUGCACCUAAGUCCAAACUCUUCCGAAAUAGACCUUGACCUUGUAAUAAAUAAUACACGCAGUCCAUUUUAAUUCAUAAUAAAUGAAUAAAGCCCUGGGAAUUGAUUUUUGGAAUAAAAACAAUUCCUAGAACUUUGAAAAUCCAUAACUUGCUCAUUUUUUCUCCAAUUUGAUCCAUUCAAAUUGUGUUAACUUCGUAAUAAUGUUGCCUACAUCUCCGUAACAUUACUUUAUCAAAUAACAUGGUUUCAAAAAUAAAUAUUCAUUUAACCUAUGUUUAGUGGAUUAACCCUUCUAAACAAAGUUAAUAUAUCCAUAAUUAUAGUGUGACUAAAAUAUAACCUCUAUGCAAAUUAUAAACUAGAUUAAAGAUAAAUUAGUUAUUUAUUUGUCAUAACCUUCCGACUUAUAUUAAUCAAUUAAGAUUAAAAGAUUUACUAUUUAACCAUCUAAAACUUGAGAAUAUUAUAUCUUUUAACCGUAACUCCGAUUUUAGUCGUUCUCGAACCCACGACCUCGUAGCAACGUGUAGAUUAUUAUUAUUGCAUAUUGUGCUUGUGUUUGUUGUGAUGUUAAUUUUGCCUAUACCAUGUUUGUUUGUAUUGCUACGUUUAGCAGUGAGGUCACGAGUCACCUGAAGAUCAUCCUGGUACCUGGAAUCUCAAGUCCAGGCAAGUUGUGCCCUUGACCACUUUUAUUGUCCAAUAAUGUUCUUUAUUAUCACUUAUUCAUGCAUAGGCUUAAUUUUGAUGGGACCUAAUAGGUCACCCUAGUUUGGUUAUCUUGUUACCUUGUUUACCCCUGAACGAUUUGGGUAGUUUUGCUAUUGCUCUAUAUGGUUUUGGGUUUAAUAUUACAUCAUGUUCAUGUUCCAAUUAUACUAUUAUUUUAUUUAUUGUUCAUGACAAGAUCAUUAUAUUAAUUAGAACAUGGAGCUUAACUUGAGAAACACGUGCCACCACAAGGGUGGAAUGAGAUGCCUUGGCUGACUAACUAGGAAAGCUAGUGGAGGACUACCUUACCCGAUAUGGACAAGGGCAGUAGGGGAGUAGGCGUGUAGGGAGGUUCCCGGGUUGAUUUUGCUGCGAUGGCGAUCAGACGAGGGAUUCCUUUAUUGCUCUUCCUAGAACUGUAGCGGGUUUUCUAAAGCUAAUGGAACUUUGUAAAGGCCUCAUAGUGGAUCCCCAGCCAUUCACCUCGGUAGUUUUUAAGGGUCUAGCUAACCAUGGCGACAUGGGAUACAUGACUUGUGGGUACAGGGUACAACCUCUGCAGAGUGUAAAACUGGUAUACUAGUCAUGCUCGCGGUCAUGAGCAGCUCAGGACUCUCGCAUGAUUAAAUUAUGGAACUAAAUUCAAUUUGUCAGUUGCAUUGCAUGGGAUUUUUUUAUUAAUUUUGUUCUAUUAUUAUUAUGGUUUGGUAUUUACUUACAUUUAGUAUCUGCUAAUAAAAUUUGACCAACUUAUUAAAAGCAAUGCUCAGCUUUAACCCCUAUUAUUGAUCAGCCUUACACAUCACAUGAACUCUCACCUUUGGUGAGUUCAUGCACAUUAUUCCCCACAACUUGUUGAGCGAUGAAUAUAUGUGAGCUCACCCUUGCUGUCUCACACCCCCCACACACACAGGUCAAGAACAGGUACCACAGGAUGAGGCGCAUGGAGGAUACUGUGAUGUUUUCAUGAGAGGUCUAGGUCGUCGUCUUCCAGUUAACAUUGGGUUGCUGGAUCAUUGUCUCCUGACGAUGUAAUUAUUUAUUUAUUUUGUACAGAACUCCUAUUAUAAAGUAAAGUUGUGACAUUUGUUUAUGUACCAUGAUUGAUCAUAUGUGUGAGACUUGGUCUCAGCACACCUGGUGAUUAUGUUCGCACCUGGGUCCCUAAAACCCGGGUGUGACAUUAGCUCAACUAUUGCUUGCCACAUGGCGUCGAGCAUGUAACCACGAAACAUGAUAGGGAUAAUUCUCUCCAUUAAUAUAUGGAAGUCAUGGCUCUUUAACCCAGUUAGUUUUCCUGUUUUCAAAUUCACAACUCUUUUCAAGCCCAUAGCAUAACCAUCGGGAAAUUUAAUUUUUUUCAUCCAUCUCAUUACCUCGAUCUUGUCCUUAGAGGUAAGACAGAACAAGGCAUGUGGCGGCUUGCUGUUGUCAUUGAGCACUUGGGUUGGUCGGUCAUAAAGCAUUGCUAGUUCUCUUCGAGUUUUCAGAUUCUCCUUUGUUUUUUCAAAAUUCAUGCAGGUGUGUAUGAGGGCUUCAGCAACAUUACUUUCUUGGUGCAUGACAUCAAUGUUGUGCAUAAGAAUCAAUGACGGCAUAUAA
Molecule: long non-coding RNA, 3433 nt
Filed under: Zea mays
Lineage: Eukaryota; Viridiplantae; Streptophyta; Magnoliopsida; Poales; Poaceae
Description: long non-coding RNA (ZMAY_LNC002750)
Source: RNAcentral